This 269-nucleotide ribosomal RNA is filed under the name uncultured archaeon. Its description in RNAcentral is "partial 16S ribosomal RNA". It matches the Rfam family "Archaeal small subunit ribosomal RNA", at positions 477 to 747 of the family's 1478-position model. The record is from RNAcentral.
CAGCGCCACGAGUGGCAAUCGUGUAUUUGGCCUAAAGCGUCCGCAGCUGGCGUUGUAAAUCCUUUGUGAAAUCGUUGGGCUUAACCUAACGGCGUGCAGAGGACACUGCAAUGCUUGAGACCGGGAGGAGUCGGAGGUAUUCCUGGGGGAGCGGUAAAAUGCUAUAAUCCCAGGAGGACCGCCAGUGGCGAAGGCGUCUGACUAGAACGGAUCUGACAGUGAGGGACGAAAGCCAGGGGAGCGAACCGGAUUAGAUACCCGAGUAGUCC